Molecule: ribosomal RNA, 301 nt
Filed under: uncultured bacterium
Lineage: Bacteria
Description: partial 16S ribosomal RNA
Rfam family: Bacterial small subunit ribosomal RNA
Source: RNAcentral
CAGUCGCCACGGUAAUACGGAGGGUGCAAGCGUUAAUCGGAAUUACUGGGCGUAAAGCGCACGCAGGCGGUUUGUUAAGUCAGAUGUGAAAUCCCCGAGCUUAACUUGGGAACUGCAUUUGAAACUGGCAAGCUAGAGUCUUGUAGAGGGGGGUAGAAUUCCAGGUGUAGCGGUGAAAUGCGUAGAGAUCUGGAGGAAUACCGGUGGCGAAGGCGGCCCCCUGGACAAAGACUGACGCUCAGGUGCGAAAGCGUGGGGAGCAAACAGGAUUAGAUACCCCUGUAGUCCCUGUCUCUUAUAC